Molecule: long non-coding RNA, 694 nt
Organism: Halichondria panicea
Lineage: Eukaryota; Metazoa; Porifera; Demospongiae; Suberitida; Halichondriidae
Exons: 3
Source: RefSeq, a predicted model, not a curated record
UAACAUAGCCUCGAUCCCAGGCCGAGUUUUCGCUUUUAUAACGGUUAGGCGAACAACUGGGCCUGGUACUAGUUGUCUGCGCAUGCGUCAGUCGUUUGUCAGAUUCUGACAAAUGGAUAUUCUCGUUCACUUUCGUGACAUUUAUAUUCGUGUACUAUUGUGUACUAGAAGUCAGUUCCCGUUUUAUCAUUAUUGGAAUCGAUUGGAAUGGCUCUUAGCUGAAGCUUCUCUCUUCUCUGAAGCUUAUUCUGAAGACUGAACAACAAGGGAAGAGGUAUAAAGCUUUGUCAAGCUUGUUAAGGAGCAAUGGCUAAUAUCCAGCUAUCCCAACAGUGCUCCUCUUGGCUAUACUAACGGACGAGACUGGACAGUUUGAGACACAGGACUGAAGUAUGACCUGCUCAUUCGAGCGUUGCUGGGUAGCUCAGAGACAUCAAGAGAAUCUACGUUUUCUCAAGCAAUGAGUUACGAGUUGGGGCCUAGAAUCAGAGAAGUCCAGCAGCCUGCUAAAUCUUUUUGAAACGUAAUUUGAAGGCAUUCAAUCAUCCUGAAGUUGCCCUGGGUCACUGUAAUUGUGCUGCAGCACAACUGGCAACUCCCCAGGCCUUUGUGAAGCAGCUCCCUAUGUGCAUCUUUUGUGUACUCACUCUGUGCAUUUUCUGUGUACAAAUUUCUAUUAUUGAUUUAUUAAAUA